RNAcentral lists this ribosomal RNA (860 nucleotides) under Zanclospora iberica. RNAcentral's name for it is "eukaryotic LSU rRNA". It matches the Rfam family "Eukaryotic large subunit ribosomal RNA", at positions 40 to 931 of the family's 3401-position model. Lineage: Eukaryota; Fungi; Ascomycota; Sordariomycetes; Chaetosphaeriales; Chaetosphaeriaceae. The record is from RNAcentral.
AUAUCAAUAAGCGGAGGAAAAGAAACCAACAGGGAUUGCCUCAGUAACGGCGAGUGAAGCGGCAACAGCUCAAAUUUGAAAUCUGGCCCCAGGCCCGAGUUGUAAUUUGCAGAGGAUGCUUCGGGCGCGGCGCCUCCCAAGUCCCCUGGAACGGGGCGCCUGAGAGGGUGAGAGCCCCGUACGGUUGGAUGCCUAGCCCAUGUGAAGCUCCUUCGACGAGUCGAGUAGUUUGGGAAUGCUGCUCAAAACGGGAGGUAGACCCCUUCUAAAGCUAAAUACCGGCCAGAGACCGAUAGCGCACAAGUAGAGUGAUCGAAAGAUGAAAAGCACUUUGAAAAGAGGGUUAAACAGCACGUGAAAUUGUUGAAAGGGAAGCGCUCGUGACCAGACUUGCGCCGGGGCGAUCAUCCGGCGUUCUCGCCGGUGCACUCGCCCCGGCUCAGGCCAGCGUCGGUUUGGGCGGGGGGAGAAAUGCGCCGGGAACGUGACUCCCCCGGGAGUGUUAUAGCCCGGCGCGUCAUGUCCCCGCCCGGACCGAGGUUCGCGCUCUGCAAGGACGCUGGCGUAAUGGUCACCAGCGGCCCGUCUUGAAACACGGACCAAGGAGUCGAGGUUCUGCGCGAGUGUCUGGGUGUCAAACCCGCACGCGCAAUGAAAGUGAACGCAGGUGGGAGCCUCGGCGCACCACCGACCGAUCCUGAUGUUCUCGGAUGGAUUUGAGUAGGAGCGUAGGGCCUCGGACCCGAAAGAUGGUGAACUAUGCUUGGAUAGGGUGAAGCCAGAGGAAACUCUGGUGGAGGCUCGCAGCGGUUCUGACGUGCAAAUCGAUCGUCAAAUCUGAGCAUGUGGCGAAAGUCAGG